GAACCAGCCAAGUAGCGUGAAGGAUGACUGCCCUAUGGGUUGUAAACUUCUUUUAUAAAGGAAUAAAGUCGGGUAUGCAUACCCGUUUGCAUGUACUUUAUGAAUAAGGAUCGGCUAACUCCGUGCCAGCAGCCGCGGUAAUACGGAGGAUCCGAGCGUUAUCCGGAUUUAUUGGGUUUAAAGGGAGCGUAGAUGGAUGUUUAAGUCAGUUGUGAAAGUUUGCGGCUCAACCGUAAAAUUGCAGUUGAUACUGGAUAUCUUGAGUGCAGUUGAGGCAGGCGGAAUUCGUGGUGUAGCGGUGAAAUGCUUAGAUAUCACGAAGAACUCCGAUUGCGAAGGCAGCCUGCUAAGCUGCAACUGACAUUGAGGCUCGAAAGUGUGGGUAUCAAACAGGAUUAGAUACCCUG
This 407-nucleotide ribosomal RNA is filed under the name uncultured bacterium. Its description in RNAcentral is "bacterial SSU rRNA". It matches the Rfam family "Bacterial small subunit ribosomal RNA", at positions 385 to 789 of the family's 1533-position model. The record is from RNAcentral.